Dermacentor albipictus is the source of this 473-nucleotide non-coding RNA. NCBI's taxonomy places the organism in Eukaryota, Metazoa, Arthropoda, Arachnida, Ixodida, Ixodidae. The record is from RefSeq and is a predicted model, not a curated record.
GGUCGCGCUUUCUUUGUUACCGGCUCAUGAAAAGCCGAUGGUACUCUCGCUGCGCUCGCAUUCCAUCACAGUGCGCGGAAGAAUUUUUUGAAAGUUGUGCUAUCACGUGCUGUAGUUCAUCUGCAAUUCUACGCUGUUGACGCUGGAGGCACCGUGCACCGACUGUCCUUCCUGCGGUACCUGUGCGAUGCGGCAGCAGCUGUCACGGAGACUCGUUUACCGAGCACGCCUAGAAAGGGAUGUCACGAUUUUGUGAGCCAGAGGAAUCUACACCACUUGGGAGCCUGCGGCACUUCUGCAGGCUGAACAGCGCGUCAAAGCAUCUGAUUUGCAUGCUGCGACAAGGUGUGUGCAAGGCGGUCACUGCCACUCACAUGAGAUGUCGGUACUCACUACUUCAUUCCUUGGAAGCGAUAUUCUUGGUCCCAACCAAGCAGCCCGGAAGAAAUCGGAGACAAAUAAAAUGUGCAAAG